Molecule: ribosomal RNA, 467 nt
Filed under: uncultured bacterium
Lineage: Bacteria
Description: partial 16S ribosomal RNA
Rfam family: Bacterial small subunit ribosomal RNA
Source: RNAcentral
CCAGACUCCUACGGGAGGCAGCAGUGAGGAAUAUUGGUCAAUGGGCUUACGCCUGAACCAGCCAAGUCGCGUGAGGGAAGACUGCCCUAUGGGUUGUAAACCUCUUUUGUCAGGGAGCAACGCCGGCUACGUGUAGCCGGACUGAGAGUACCUGAAGAAAAAGCAUCGGCUAACUCCGUGCCAGCAGCCGCGGUAAUACGUAGGGGGCAAGCGUUAUCCGGAUUUACUGGGUGUAAAGGGAGCGUAGGUGGCAUGGCAAGCCAGAAGUGAAAACCCGGGGCUUAACCCCGCGGAUUGCUUUUGGAACUGUCAGGCUGGAGUGCAGGAGGGGCAGGCGGAAUUCCUGGUGUAGCGGUGAAAUGCGUAGAUAUCAGGAGGAACACCGGUGGCGAAGGCGGCCUGCUGGACUGUAACUGACACUGAGGCUCGAAAGCGUGGGGAGCAAACAGGAUUAGAUACCCGUGUAU